This 497-nucleotide ribosomal RNA is filed under the name uncultured bacterium. RNAcentral describes it as "partial 16S ribosomal RNA". It matches the Rfam family "Bacterial small subunit ribosomal RNA", at positions 28 to 507 of the family's 1533-position model. The record is from RNAcentral.
GAUGAACGCUGGCGGCGUGCCUAAUACAUGCAAGUCGAGCGAACAGACGAGAAGCUUGCUCCUCUGACGUUAGCGGCGGACGGGUGAGUAACACGUGGAUAACCUACCUAUAAGACUGGGAUAACUUCGGGAAACCGGAGCUAAUACCGGAUAAUAUAUUGAACCGCAUGGUUCAAUAGUGAAAGACGGUUUUGCUGUCACUUAUAGAUGGAUCCGCGCCGCAUUAGCUAGUUGGUAAGGUAACGGCUUACCAAGGCGACGAUGCGUAGCCGACCUGAGAGGGUGAUCGGCCACACUGGAACUGAGACACGGUCCAGACUCCUACGGGAGGCAGCAGUAGGGAAUCUUCCGCAAUGGGCGAAAGCCUGACGGAGCAACGCCGCGUGAGUGAUGAAGUUCUUCGGAUCGUAAAACUCUGUUAUUAGGGAAGAACAAAUGUGUAAGUAACUAUGCACGUCUUGACGGUACCUAAUCAGAAAGCCACGGCUAACUACGUG